GCAUGUCUGGGAGGGAUUAUCCAGAAGUGGUUAAGUGAGGUGGGAAAAGCACCUUCCCUCUAGGCAGCACCACUCCAAGAGCCAGCUGGGUUCUCGGGCUUAAUAAAAAUGAUGGAGGCACCACCAGGCAUCCAUCCCUCUCUGCCUCCUGACUCCAAAUGCAGUGCGACACAACGUACGCAUGCGCCUGACGCCAUGCCUUCCCAGAUGUGAUGGACUGUACCUCUCACCGGUUUUAGAUGACUUUAUUCAUCAGAGCACACAUAAACAAAUGGAAGCCCGCCUUGGGCAACACCCUGCCCUGGGACAUAAAGUCUCAGAAGAACUAAAUACGUCUUCCCACUGAGGCCCAACCAGACAGUCCAGCUAAGGGAAGAGGACCUGAUGGCAGAUGGGACUCCAAACAAACCCAUGCAACCUCUGAGAAAGAGAACUUGAAUCCUGCCGCUCUCCACCAGUCUGCAUUGACGUAAGUUUGCUACCUCAUCCAUUCAAUGCUUCAGGGGUCAUGGAAGUGGAGAUGUAGCUGGAGACCAACAAAGAUGGACACUUGCUGAGAAAAAAGAGAUGGUGUCUUCUCAGGCAAAAGGAAAACAAAAUGGAAUUCAGAAUGUAUCCCUAUUGUCCAAGUCUCUGUGCGCCAAGGACCUGGAAGCAAAUGAAAAAUUGUUUAACAGAAUCGUGCCCACUUUUCUUUGUGGUUCAAAACAAGAUACCCUGACUACAAGAGGAUCUUCAACCAGCAUGGAAGAUACCCACCUUCAUAACAUGUGACUAUAUCAACUUUGGUCUGUUUCUGCUCCAGUUCCUGCAUCUCAGUAAUCCCAAAGGAAAACAAGCAUGAACUACCACCUAAGACAAGUUGUCUGAAGCCAUUCAUCCUAUAACCAAACACAACAAUUCUGCUUACAUAUCAUGGGUUGAAAUCUAUUCCUAUACAGAUAGGGGGAAUGUGGCCCAGCUAUGAAGCUCUAAAUGGUAGGAAAUGGUGGUUGAUGAUCUGGUUAACAGUCUGCUUUACCAGUUGAAAAUUGCAUUAAACACUUCAGUUUGUUCAAA
Non-coding RNA from Rattus norvegicus (Norway rat), 1059 nucleotides. Lineage: Eukaryota; Metazoa; Chordata; Mammalia; Rodentia; Muridae. The record is from RefSeq and is a predicted model, not a curated record.